UACAGAGGGUGCGAGCGUUAAUCGGAAUUACUGGGCGUAAAGCGUGCGCAGGCGGUUAGCUAAGACAGAUGUGAAAUCCCCGGGCUUAACCUGGGAACUGCAUUUGUGACUGGCGGGCUAGAGUAUGGCAGAGGGGGGUAGAAUUCCACGUGUAGCAGUGAAAUGCGUAGAGAUGUGGAGGAAUACCGAUGGCGAAGGCAGCCCCCUGGGCCAAUACUGACGCUCAUGCACGAAAGCGUGGGGAGCAAACAGG
RNAcentral lists this ribosomal RNA (253 nucleotides) under uncultured bacterium. RNAcentral describes it as "partial 16S ribosomal RNA". It matches the Rfam family "Bacterial small subunit ribosomal RNA", at positions 524 to 776 of the family's 1533-position model. The record is from RNAcentral.